This 497-nucleotide ribosomal RNA is filed under the name uncultured bacterium. Its description in RNAcentral is "partial 16S ribosomal RNA". It matches the Rfam family "Bacterial small subunit ribosomal RNA", at positions 28 to 507 of the family's 1533-position model. The record is from RNAcentral.
GAUGAACGCUGGCGGCGUGCCUAAUACAUGCAAGUCGAGCGAACAGAUGAGGAGCUUGCUCCUCUGACGUUAGCGGCGGACGGGUGAGUAACACGUGGAUAACCUACCUAUAAGACUGGGAUAACUUCGGGAAACCGGAGCUAAUACCGGAUAAUAUAUUGAGCCGCAUGGUUCAAUAGUGAAAGACGGUUUUGCUGUCACUUAUAGAUGGAUCCGCGUCGCAUUAGCUAGUUGGUAAGGUAACGGCUUACCAAGGCAACGAUGCGUAGCCGACCUGAGAGGGUGAUCGGCCACACUGGAACUGAGACACGGUCCAGACUCCUACGGGAGGCAGCAGUAGGGAAUCUUCCGCAAUGGGCGAAAGCCUGACGGAGCAACGCCGCGUGAGUGAUGAAGGUCUUCGGAUCGUAAAACUCUGUUAUUAGGGAAGAACAAAUGUGUAAGUAACUAUGCACGUCUUGACGGUACCUAAUCAGAAAGCCACGGCUAACUACGUG